GUGUAACUAAUUUAUACAGUAUAUUUAUCCCAUAUAAAUACACUUUACAUUACAAUAAUUAUAGAAAAUACCCUUCAACAACAAAAGAAAGACAGACACUUUGCAUACUCCCGAAUCUCAUUCUGAAAUUUUAUCCAUAACCACAUCAAAUAUGCACCAAAUCAUCCUAAAUUCAAAAUACUCUCAAACAUUUAGAACCACACCCAAUAUGAAAUUAUUUUAAUUUUUCAAACCCAAGAUUCAACAUUGAAGCUUCAAGUCUUUGAUAGUCUUCGUCAAAAGGUGGAAUCAGAGAUUGAGUUGAUUCAAGAAAACUUUCACUCGUCAAAGAUUUAUGUUUCUAUUUCGUUGUAAUUCCAGAUUCAAAGUUGCGAUUUUUCAAGCUGCCUUUUUCUUCUUCUUUGUAUCUAUCUACAUUGUAUUUCGUUGUAUGAGAGAGAAUACAGUUGAUACAUCUUUAUUAUCAAAACUAUAUUUAUUGAUACAACUGUUUCAUCAAAACCCUAUUCAUUAAUACAACUAUUAUACACGAACAAAUACAGUUAAUAUAACUAUGCGUGAACCAAUACAGUUGGCACAACUUUUCCAUCAAAACUAUUUUCGUUAAUACAACCUGGCAACAAAUUGAUACAGCGAGACCUUUGUACAGCAAAAUUGAUAUAUUAGCUAUGAAUGAUAAUUAGGUAAAUUAUAAUUGUGUAUGGUACGUAAUUAUACUCUAAAAUAUUAUGCUUAAUGAACCAGAUUAGUUAACUUACAAUUACAUGAUUAAGUUGGAUAAAAAUACUACUGUAAUACAUUAUGAGUUGUGAAUGCUGUCAAAAUAAUAUUGGAACCCUUUUUAAAUACUAGUAAUAAAUACGAUAUACAUUACUUUGGGGGGAUUUGCCAUUAUGGACCUCUUUCAACUUUCGAAUUCGGAAUUAGAGCCUGAUAUCAAAAAGUCUACUCUCUGUCAAACUUUCUAAAAAUCUAACUUUUGUCAAUUCAAGACUAAUUCGAUUACGGACCUCCAAAUUAUAAUGCGUACGCGCUCCUAAGUUCAAAAAUCAUCCAGCAGAGCUAGCAGAAUUGACGAAACUCCAUUUCGAGUUCAAAUGCUAAAAAGUCAAAUUUGGUCAAUUCUUUCAACUUAGAACUUAAAUUUUGAAGUUCAUUAUUCUAAAUCAAUUCUGCAUAACUUAAAAACCAAUACUGAUGAUUUAUGUAAGUCAUAAUACAUCAUGCGAAAAUAUUGAAGCCUCAAAACACAAAGCAAAGUACAAAUACUCAAAACGAUUAAUUGAAUUAUUACGUGGGAAAAAGACUACUAAAAUAUUUUUAAAAUAUCCAUCAAUAAUAAGCAAGCAUGAUAACAAAAAGUUAAGAUUGAGGCACAACCAUUCAUCUAUUUGGAUAAGACUACUACUACCCGUAGCAUUUACAAAGAACACUAAUCCAUGAGAAACAUGAUCAAAUUAAAAUAGCUAUGGAAACUCUCGCAGGUCUUCAAAACUCUUAUCUCUCAAUUACAAACUCAUUUCUAUCGAAUCAAAAAAUCCCAGUCCUUUUCCAUAAAAACAUACACAGAACUCCUGACCUCCACCAAAAUACAUGGAAAUUACAUGCCGAAGCAAAAGGCUUCGGCAAUGUACCAGCUGAAACACAAAAGCCAAACGGAAAACUCGACGCCUCCAAAAGAAAUAACAGAAGGAAUAAUAAUAACAACAAUGAAGACAACGACGAAAAAAUUCCGUCGGCAGUGUGGGAAAGAAUUAUCGGAAGGAUGUUGUUUUACGUGGGAGCUCCAAUCGUAGGCGGUGUGGCUCUGCUACAGGUUUUGGAUAUCGUAAAGCAACAACAAUUGUGGGAUGUACCAAUUUGGUUACCAUUCUUGACAACGUUUAUCUCGUUUGGAGCUUCAACACUUGGAAUUGCUUAUGGGACAUUGUCAGCUAGUUGGGAUUCUGAGAAAGAGGGAACAUUUCUUGGGUUGGAACAAGCUCAGAAGAAUUGGGUUGAUAUGUGGGUUGAAGAUGGUAAUGAUGAUGAAGAAAAUAGGUGGAGCAAUUAAGAGAGAAAAAAAAAUGUAAACUAAUUAGUACUUGUAUUGUUCAUUGAAUAUCGCUCCAAUACUAUUGUUUACCUUCAAAUUUAGAUGAGAAUUAAACUUAUAUUGUGAUUUUAAGGAUAUGUGAUUUCGUUAAAUACCAAUUGACAAGCAAGAAAUAAAUAAAUAAAUUAGAGAAUAAAAUAAAUCAAACCAGUAUGCUAGCGUGACGACCCGACCCGUCAUCUCAUGCGUUACUGCUUCGUUUUUCUUGUUUUAUGCUCCUUCAUGUUUCAUUAUCAAUAUGUGAUGUGUUAGAGUUGAUUUGGAUUGUUAUUGGUGGAAAAUGAGACACUUAGUCUCCUUAAGGAAGGCUUAUUUUGGAGAAGUCAACCGGAUGUUGACUUAUGAGUUAGAGGGCUCGGAUGGGAUUUUCGGUAAUUUGGUUUAGCUUCGGAAAGUGAUUUGUAACUUAGGAGUGCGAUCAGAAUUGAUUUUGGAGGCCUGGUGUAGAAUUAGGCUUCAAUUGGCGAAGUUAGUAUUUUGGCAAAUUCCGGUUGAUGGGUGAGAAUUUGAUCCGAGGGUCGGAAUAGAAUUUCGAGAGUUGUUGUAGCUUCGUUAGGUGAUUUGUGAUGUGUGUGCAAACGUUUAGUUGAAUCGGAGGUGUUUAUGUCGGGUUUUUGAUCGAAUGUGAGUUUCGGAAGAAUUUGAUAAACUAGACUUUGAUUUGGUGGAAUUUAAUGAUUUGGUGUUAAUUAUGGUGAUUUGAUGGUUCGAGCAAGUUUGAGUAAGGUUUUGGGUUACAUCUGUAUUUUUGGUUAAGGUCCUGAAGGCUUCGGGGUGUUUUCGGAUGGCCAACGGGGUGAAAAAUUGGACUUGAAUAUUGCUGAACUUUUCAGGUGUCUGGUGUUUUCGCACCUGCGGUUUUGGGACCGCAGGUGGGGUCUCACAGAAGCAAGCGGGGAGGCGCAUAAGCGGAAGGGCGGUCCAUGGCAGGUUUCGCAGAAGCGGACGUGGGGGCCGCAAAGGCGGUUCCGCUGGUGUGGUAUCUGGACCGCAAAUGCGGUCGUGGGCCUUGAGUGAUUUCAGUAGAAGUGGAGUAAUUGCCGCAAAAGCGGUGACUGCAAAAGCGGUUUUGGUGCGCAAAAGCGAAAAGGGCUGGACAGGAAAGGGAUUUAAUGUGUCAUUUUGUUCCGCGAGUUAAGAUAUUUUUCCUCCAUUGUUGAAUAUCUUGGGAGCUUUUUGGGAGCAAUUGAAGAGGGUUUCAAAGGGGAUUGACAGGAGGUAAGUUCUAUGAACUAAAAACAUUAUUAUAUUGUGAAAUUGGUCUAGAAAUUCAUGGAAACUGAGCCUAAAAUUUAUGAACUAGGGCUUGAGUUUUGAUAUUCCAAAUUGAGAUUUGAUAGGUCAUUUGAGCUUGGAUUUGGGAGUUCUUGGUAUGUAUAGACUCGUGGCGAGACGAGGAACCCGGUAAUGUGAGUUUUGUAAUUUUUUGAGAAGCAGGCCCGGUGCUCAUAUUUUGCUAGUUUUGAGAUUUUUGUUAUUUCUCGAUUGUUUUCGAUUGGGUAUUGUCUCCUUAGCAUAUUGUAAUGUAUUCGCUCUGAUUUUGGUUAGAUUCAACGCGUGUGAAGGUCGGUCUACGGGGCAAAGGCGUUGCGGGCUAGAGCUUUCACCGUUUUGAGGUGAGCAAUACGUGUAAAUGAUAUUCUGAGGGUUUGAAACCCCAGAUUUGCACAUCAUUGUGCUGUAUUAAGGUGACUUGCACGCCAGAUAUGAGCGUGGGAUAGAGCACCGCUGGGGAUUGUGACUUGGUCCGUUCCGGUUGUUGAUUUUGCUGUGUAUUUGACUGAAACUACUUGUUAUCAUCAUAAUUUGGGCUGAUUGCCAUAUUUGGGCUUCGUGACAACUAUGCGAAUCCUUCGGGAAUUGAGAUUACUAUUUUAGCAUAUGUUGCAUAUUAUUUAAUUUCAAUCCAAGAUUUUAAAUACAGUUUUUGCAAACUCAGCCAUACCUCUAUGUUUUGAAAACUCAAAUAAUAUUUUAAAUGUUAUUUCGGGCUUGGAACUACUAUUUUAUAAAUGCCUAAGGGCUCAUGAUGUUUUUUCUGGACUGAUUAAAGGUGGAUCGGGCUGCGCGCCGCAACACUGACUCGAAACAGUGGUAACAAUGACGCCGUGUGAUGUGACUUGAAAUAGUGGUAAAAAUGGCACCGUGUGAUAUAAAUUGAUUAGGUAACAAUGACAUACCAGGAUUUGAUUGAUGCCACGAGUUGUCUUGUCAUUGCGCUUGGGCUAUAGGAGCCCCUCCGGAGUCUGUACACACCCCCAGUGAGCGGCGUCGACGAUAACUAAAUAUGGGCGGCUCGGGCUGCACGCUGCAGUGGGUACUGGAAUGUACCAUCAUAUACAUUGCAUUACACUCAUGCAUUUGUUCCUAUUUAUACUACUUGUCAUGACAUGAAACAUUAUUAUUUCAUUGGCAUCCAUGCUACUUCUUGCAUUGUUUACUAGAUACCCCGAUGUUAUUUGCCGAUGGAGUGUUGUGCCCGAAGGGCUGACUUACGUGUUGACUUGCACUAUUUGUGUCGCGAUCAUUUGCUUAAACUAUUGAAAAGAAAUAUCUUCAAAAUAGGUUUGAACUGAGCCCAGAUGUUUUUCAAAGGAUUUUACGGUUUUACUGUUUUCUUAAAAGGGUUAUACUAUUUUAUAUAGCAUGAUGGAGUGCCUUACGUGAUUUCUUGCUUUCAGCUAUUAUUUACUUUUAUUAAUCACUGAGUUGGGGGUACUCACUUUACUCCCUGCACCUCACGUGUAGUUGCAGGUUUUGUUCACCUCGGUAGCGGGUUAUUAGCGGAUUGAAGGUAAUGCCAUUGUAGCCGAGUAAGGUGACCGCCAACGUCCGCGGUACCGGACUUCAUCUUUCGAUCUCCAAAUUUUAUUUUUGUAUAUGUAAUUGGCCCUGUAGUGGUGUUAAGUCUUAUUUAGAUGCUCGUGACUUGUGACACCCUGGUCGGGUUGUGUUGGGUGGUAAAUGUCACUCAUUAAUGUCAUUAAGUUGUAUUAUUCAUUCAUUUAUGUUUAUUAACUAUUAAAAUGGGCAUUGUUGAUCUGUUGGCUGGCCUUGUCUUCACGAGAGGCGCCAUUACGAACGGGUUUGGAAAUUGGGUCGUGAUAAGUUGGUAUCAGAGCCUAGGUUACUAGGUCUCACGAGUCAUGAGCAGGUUUAGUAGAGUCUCGCGGAUCGGUACAGAGACGUCUGUAUUUAUCCUUGAAAGGUUUCAGAACCUUUUGGGGAAACUUCACAUUAAUGAAAUAUUAUCGUGCGUUCUUGAUUCAGCUUGGAAAGUAACUCUUGAAAUUUCUUCCACGUGUUCACAUGCGCGCAUGAUCGCUCAGUAUCAGAUGUGCCUUGACGGCUUGUGAUUCCCCGAUCGAGGAGCAAGAUGUAAUUUCUAUGAGUUGAUGUUGGGCUAGUCUGGAGAACUUGAGGUCGGAUCUUUGCUUACGGCUUGACCACCAAGGUGCCGAUUGUUCGAGCUAGUGUUAUGAACUUAUAUGUUCAGUGUUGCCCCUAUUAGUGGGAGUGACGUCUGGGUAGGUAUGUGGAUGUCUUGAGCUAUUGUUGAUAAAGAAUGUGUAGUGUAAAGAGAAGAAAGCUGUUUGGUUGUAUCCGAAUGAGAUCAUGUCCGGCGGGGUCAGAGCUAAUGAGGCACAUGUAUUUAUGUCUAUUUGAUAAGGUAAAUUGCAGUUGAAUAAGAGUGAAUGACUUGCGAGAAUGGUUCUAAUGGGUUCAAGAGUCAACGUACAUCAAUUGAGAGUUCUAAAGUUGCAUAUGGGGUUAGGAACUGAGUUCAUUAGAAGAUGUCAAGACUUGUGGUAUUCUAUGUUAAUUAUGGUAAUCUAUGUAUCCGCAUCAGGAAGGUAAAGGAAAUAGAGUUAUAUUCGCAGAGAGUUCUUCUGAGUAAGGUAUUCUGGAAUGUGAUGCUGGUAGAAAUAUUUGAGAGAGUAGUCAGCGGGUUGUGGUUCCUAAUAGUGUGAUUUUAUGCUUGGGUCUCGUGCAGUAAGCCGGGAUUGAGGAAAUUGUGGUACUAUGGCAAAGGGAAUAUCAAGGUGAAGACGAAUCAGAAGAAAUUUAGAUAAAUGGAGUAGCUUGAUAACGGACCGAAUCGGCAUGAUAAGGGUAUGAUUAAUUCUUGGUGUGUAUUUUAGGUAAUGAGUUAGCACACGUAAUUUUGCAGCAAUGCUCUCGAGUUUUGACGACUUGCUUAGCGUGAUUUGGUUAGAAGGAUUCAGUCAUGGCGGUUUAGUUUGUGCAAAUGAAAUUGGGAGAGUUCUUGUUUAUUGCUACCGUGGUUGAAGAGGUGCAUCUUGUAUGAAUGUGAGAAGAAUGAGAUGUGCAAGGAUUUUCAUCUAAAUGAGAUCCAUGGAAGUUCUUGAUUAGAUAAGUUUCAGUUCAGGUUAGAAAGGAAAUUCAUAAAGCAUUUAGGUAGCGGGUAGCCUCAAAUAAUCAAGGAAAAUGGUACGGCUAUUCGAAAGUGAUUCGAUGAGAGUAUAUAUUUCAGAGAAAGGGCAAUGUGAUUAAAUGAUGGUACUUCGGUGGUGUUGCGACACUUUCUUGUUAGAUCAACUGGUGAUAUUCGGGUUUGCUUGGUGGCUCAGGGAGAUUUUUGAGUAUGUAUUGUGGAAUUAUUGGAUAUUUAGCUGUGGCACCUGUUCGGACGGCAAAAUUGGGAUCAACUAUGAUGAUUCGUAUGCUAUGUGGAAUUUGAGGCGAAAGUCCUCAUAUUCGGGCUAUUUGUGAUGGUAGAUCGUAUGUAUCGGCACCGUUUGGCGAAUAUUGGGAUUUGGAGGCUUGAGUGAAUCUUUCAUUGCUGGUAUGUUGUAUUUUGGAUGUGAUGUUGGAGUUCAAACCGGUUGUCUCAGUGUUAGAUUAAUUAUGGACUAUUGCAUUAUGGGAUAUGUCGGAAACGCCAUGCUUUGAGUGGCGAGGUGCAUUGGGUUAUGUUCUUGUGGAGUGGUUUAUCUUUCAAAGACCCAGCGUGCGACUAGGAAGGAUUGCUUUUCCUAAUUGAGCUUCAUGAUGGAUGCCAGUGCAGAGGUUGCUAUUAUUGAGAAAUUUACAGCGUUAAAGGGAAUUUUUGGAUGCGUGUUCCAGUUUGAGUUGACUCGGUUGGCUCUGAAUUGUAUUGUCGAUGGAUAGGUUGACUCGACCAUUGUUGAGCUUAUCAGCAAUCUGGAGAGAUCUAUGAGUUGUUUUUUUGCAUAGCGAGAUGUUAUGAUUUACGGACUGUGGGUGCAUAUGGUGCGGUGCUAUCGUGAUUCAUAUUGGAAGUUGAGGGGAAACCUCAGUUGUUCUUGAGUUUUGUAGUUUAUAACGCUAUAUGUGGAUAUUGUAUGCUCUCAGUAUGCUUACCACCGAUACUCGGUAUUUUGUUGUAAUGAGCAAAUUUGCCUCGAUGUGCAUCUCCUUACGUGAGAUAUAUGUGUGGAUCGGGUGGCACGCCACCAUGGGUAUGUUAUCUGGAUCGGGUUUUACACCGCAACAGUGUGAUGUUGAGAAUAGUUCUCCAUGUGCUAUUUUGUAGGACUUGUUUCCUGAUUCUACUGAAAGUCCGCAUUAGGUGUUGCUCGGUGAAUGGCGCUGCGGUUGUGUCCUUUCAGGAUCACAUAGUAUAUAUUACUUGCUUCACCAUGGGUAUAAUGAUUUUUUUUUAGGUUCCAGAUGUCAAUCGUAAGUGGUUGUCAAUUUCGAGUGUAGUAACUUGAGGUGUCUCAUGCGGAGCAGUGGUUGGACAGGAUCGUGCACUGUAGCAAGGUUCUGUGGCGAUAUGACCCUACGGGUUAGAUUUGUGUGCUCUAUUCUAUGAUGUGAGAAGGAUUCUCUGCCUUGUGUUGUGAUGGUACUGCCGAGCUUGAGGUACAACUCUUUCAAUCGAGUCAUUUCAAUGAUUGGUGUAUAUUCCGACUAUUGUUUAUGGGUACAUGUAGUUGCGCAAGUUGAGGCUUAGGCCGUAUUGAUGUGUCAUGUCACCAGGGUGGUGUGUUUGGUUAGAAUAGAUCUUUGGGAUCACUAAUGGAUGCGAACGGAUUUGAUUUCAGCUUGUGAAAGGAUGAUAUCGAGGUUCGGUUCGGAAAUCUGCUGUGGUAUUAGUAGAAAGGGAAGAAAUGCCUUCGUGAAUGGUUGAUUUGAGAAAUGGUUAUGGUCUUCUGCGCGUUCAUUAUCAUCGAUACAAUAUGAUAGUGUUGGAAUAAGACUCCAGCUAAUAAGCAGUUUCUAUCGGUAUAUGGUUGUUGUGGACAGCUGCCGUGAACGGAAGUUAUCAUUUCGGGUGCUUGGAUUAUGUGGUAUAUCAUAUGAUUUCACCGGAGGUUGCAGGUAUGGGUUAUUACAGCUGGUUCGGACUUAUCCUGAGUAGAUGUGAUGCUCUGGCCUUGCGUAUAAUUUUGGAAAGUGCUAUGUAGUUCUAUGGGUCAUGGUCUAGAUGGAUUGUGAGACUUCAGCUAUGUUGUGUUAUCGGAUCUAUGCGAGAUAGGGUGGCGUGGGAUCACCCCGAGUAUAUGCUUGGUAAGGUUAUUUAGCCAUUGAGUUGCUUCUAGUACAACUCUGGGUACGCUCGAGGACGAGCAUUGGUUUAAGUUGGGGAGGAUGUGAUGACUCGACCUGUAAUCUCAUGCGUUACUGCUCCAUUUUCCCAUUUUAUGCUCCUUCAUGUUUCAUUAUCAGUAUGUGAUGUGUUAUAGUUGAUUUGGAUUGGUAUUGGUGGAAAAUGAGACACUUAGUCUCCUUAAGAAAGGCUUGUUUUGGAGAAGUCAACCGGAUGUUGACUUAUGAGUUAGAGGGCUCGAAAGGGAUUUCCGGUAAUUUGGUUAGCUUCGAGAAGUGAUUUAUGACUUAGGAGUGCGAUCAAAAUUGAUUUUGGAAGCCUAGUGUAGAAUUAGGCUUCAAAUGGCGAAGUUAGUAUUUUGGCAAAUUCCGGUUGAUGGGUGAGAAUUUGAUCCGAGGGUCGGAAUGGAAUUCCGAGAGUUAUUGUAGCUUCAUCAGGUGAUUUUUGAUGUGUGUGCAAACGUUUAGUUGAAUCGGAGGUGUUUAGGUCGGGUUUCUGAUCGAAUGUGAGUUUCGGAAGAAUUUGAUAAACUUAGGAUUUGAUUUGGUGAAAUUUGAUGAUUUUGGUGUUAACUAUGGUGAUUUGAUGGUUCGAGCAAGUUUGAAUAAGGUUUUGGGUUACAUUUGUGUUUUUGGUUGAGGUUCCAGAGGCCUCGGGGUGUUUUCGGAUGGCCAACGGGGUGAAAAUUGGACUUAUGUGAUUGUGGAACUUUUUUGGUUCUGGUAUUUCCGCAUCUGCAGAAAAGGGACAGCAGAAGCAGUUCUGCAGAUGCGGCGGGGAGGUCGCAGAAAAGUUCCUUGAGGCCUGGGCAAUUUCCGCAGAAGCAAAUGUAAUUCCGCAAAAACGUUCAUCGCAGAUGCGAUUUUGGACCGUAGAAGCGGUCCUGGGUAUUUUGAGAGAAACCGCAGAAGCGGUAUUUGCGGCGCAGAAGCGAAAAGGCCUCACAAAUAUUAAAUUAAGUCUUCUUCGCGAAUUUUGAAAGAAUAAACAUUUUGUACUUCGAACUAAGAGGGUUUUGGGCGAUCUUUGAAGAGGGUUUCAAGGGCUAUCAUCAGGUAUGGAUUCUUGGACUUAAAGUAUGAUAUUAUGGUGUAAAACGUUUUGGGUCACAUCUGUAAUUUUGGUUGAAGUCCCAGAGGCCUCGGGGUGUUUUCGGAUGGCCAACAAGGUGAAAAAUUGGACUUGAGUGUUGCUGAACUUUUCGGGUGUCUGGUGUUUUCGCACCUGCAGUUUUAGGACCGCAGGGGCGGACUCACAAAAGCGAGCGGGGAGGCGCAGAAGUGGAAGGGCGAUCUAUGGCAAGUUCCGCAGAAGCGGACGUGGGGACCGCAAAGGUGGUUUCGCUGGUGCAGUAUUUGGACCGCAGAAGAGGCCGUGGGCCUUGAGUGAUUUCUGUAGAAGCGGAGUAAUUUCUGCAAAAGCGGUGACCACAUAAGCGGUUUUGGUGCUGCAAAAGUGAAAAGGGCUGGACAGGAAAUGGUUUUAAAGUGUCUUUUUAUUCUGCGAGUUAGACAUUUUUUCUCCAGUGUUGAACAUCUUGGGAGCUUUUUGGGAACAAUUGAAGAGGGUUUCAAAGGGGAUUGACUAAAGGUAAGUUCUAUGAACUAAAAACAUGAUUAUAUUGUGCAAUUGGUCUAGAAAUUCAUGGAAACUGGGCCUAAAAUUUAUGAACUAGGGCUUGGGUUUUGAUAUUCCAAAUUGGGAUUUGAUAGGUCCUUUGAGCUCGGAUUUGGGAGUUCUUUGUAUGUACGGACUCGUGGCGAGACGAGGAACCUGGUAAUAUGAGUUUUGUAAUUUUUCGAGAAGCCAGCCUGGGGCUCAGGUUUUGCUAGUUUCGAGAUUUUUGUUAUUUUUCGAAUGUUUUCGAUUUAGUAUUGUCCCCUUAGCAUAUUGUGAUGUAUUUGCUCUGAUUUUGGUUAGAUUCGACGCGCGUGGAGGCCGGUUUGCGAGGCAAAGGCGUCGCGGGCUAGAGCUUUCACCGGUUCGAGGUGAGUAAUACUUGUAAAUGAUAUCCUGAGGGUUUGAAACCUCAGAUUUGCAUAUCAUAGUGAUGUAUUGAGGUGACUUACACGCCGAAUAUGAGCGUGGGGCAGAGCACCAUGGGGAUUUUGACUUGGUCCGUACCGGUUGUUGAUUUUACUGCGUAUUUGACUGAAACCACUUGUUAUCAUCAUAAUUUUGGGCUGAUUGCCAUGUUUGGACUUCGUGCCAACUAUGUUAAUCCUACGGGGAUUGAGAUUACUAUUUUAGAAUAUGUUGCAUAUCAUUUGAUUUCAGUCCAAGAUUUUAAAUACCGUUUUUGCAAACUCAGCCAUACCUCUAAGUUUUGAAAACUCAAAUAAUAUUGUAAGUGUUAUUUCAGGCAAAGAACUACUGUUUUAUAAAUACCCAAGGGGCUUAUGAUGUUUUUUUCUGGACUGAUUAUGGGUGGCUCGGGUUGUGCACCGCAGCAGUGACUCGAAGCAGUGGUAACAACCACACGGUGUUAUGUGACUUGAAAUAGUGGUAACAAUGGCACUGUGUGAUAUAAAUUGGUCAGGUAACAAUGAAUGACCAUGAUUUGAUUGAUGCCACGAGAUGGCUUGUUAUUGCGCUUGGGCUGUAGGAGUCCCUCCGGAGUCAGUACACACCCUCAGUGAGCACUGUCGAUGAUAAAAAGGUAUAGGUGGCUCGGGCAGCAUGCUGCAAUGGGUAUAUGUACCAUCAUAUGUAUUGCAUUGCACUCAUGCUUUUGUUCCUAUUUAUACUACUUGUCAUGAGAUGCAAAACUCUCAUUUCAUUGGCAUCCAUGCUACUUCUUGCACUGUUUACCGGAUACCCUGGUGUUAUUUGUCGUUGGAGUGAUGUGCCCGAGGGGCUGAAUUGCGUGCUGACUUGCACUACUUUUGUUGCGAUCAUUUUCUUAAACUAUUGAAAAGAAAUAUUUUCAAAAGAGGUUUUAGCUGAGCCCAGAUGUUUUUCGAAGGAUUUCACAGUUUUAGUGCUUUCUUAAAAGGGUUGUACUGUUCUAUAUAGCAUGAUGGAGUGCCUUAAAUGAUUUCACGGUUUCAUCUAUUAUUUACUUUUAUUAAUCAUUGAGUUGGAGUACUCACUUUACUCCCUGAACCUCCUGUGCGGUUGCAGGUACUUUUCACCUGGUAGCGGGUUAUUAGCGGAUUGAAGAUAUUGUCAUUGUAGCUGAGUAAGGUGACUGCCAGCGUCCGCUGCACCGGACUUCAUCUUUCGCACUCCAGAUUUUAUUUUGUAUAUGUAAUUGGCCCUGUAGUGGUGUUAAGUCUUCUUUAGAUGCUCGUGACUUGUGACACCCCGAUCGGGUUGUGUUGGGUGGUAAAUGUCAACUAUUGAUGCUAUUAAGUCGUAUUAUUCUUUCAUUUAUGUUUAUUAACUGUUAAAAGGGAUAUUGUUGAUCUCUUGGCUGGCCUUGUCUUCACGAGAUGCUCCAUCACAGGCGGGUUUGAAAAUUGGGUCGUGAAAGGUAGCCAGGUCUCGACCUUGAUUCGAGGUAGUUUUGAGGUGAAAUAAUAAGAACAGUAAAAGUUAAAGCAACUCUAAUGAACAGUAUGUGAAAUAGCAGGAAUGUAAUGAAUGUAUAUAUUCUUAUUAGUGAAUCAUAAUGCUUACAAAUGAAUAAGAUCUCUCUUUAUAUAAUAGAGGAGUCCUAAAUAAGGUAUACAUCUAAUUAUAGUAGGAAACCAUAUUAACAUCUAAUUAACCGUCGUGGAUUGAUCUGUUUUGAGAUUUACGCCACGAUCCUCGACCAACCGCGGAUAUCUCGCCUUUUCCGUUAUCAAGCUAUACCGAUGUCAGUCGGAGUCUGUCUCUCGGGCCUCGAUUGAUGUCGACCUCGGUUCGAAAAGAGGCUUCGAUUCUGGGCUCGACGUCCUAGCUCUCUGAUGCGACAUCCCCACCUCGACGAAAGAAUGAAAUCGAGUAGCCCGGAUUUCUACCAUAUGCAGAUAGUCCCCUUGUUUCUUAGAAUAAAAUGAUAAGAAACAACUUAAGCCUCGAUUUCUGGAGACCCAGUAAUGAUGUCAACCCGUGACGUAAGCGAUUGAGGUGACCGAACAUCCCGUCGGUACAGUUUCCCAAGCCUUUUAUGCUUGACAGUGGACGGUCAGCCACUAGCACCACCGAACUAUCGCUGUAAAUCUAUAAUAUAGGCUCUUUAGCUGAAUCAAAGUUUUACUUUUACCUCUACCAAGUUUUCUAAGCCUCUUAGUCUCUCUAUCUCUUCUCUUUCACCACCCAUUGAGUCAACUUUGCUAGUGUCAGGAAUAUAAGGUUUCAUAUUUUUUCCGCUUCCUUCUACUUGAAUUAAUGGGGAAAACCUCCAAAACCGUUCCACAAAACGGAAAGGCCUCUUCAUCACGGCCGGCCAGUGAUAAAAUGCUGGUGGAGCCACGCACCAAAUAGUGCAUUCUCGGGUCAUGCAACCUUUCUUCUGAUUUCAAGAUUGAAAAAACCAUCUUCUAUCCCUGAUUGAUAUGAGCCCAUGUGAAGAUAUAUAUGCUCGAUCACUGAAGGCGAUGUCGAGCAGGUGAAAAAGGACUGCCACUAGGAAAAUGCAAAGGUGGUGGUCCUACCCCCGAUGAGGAUAUAACUAUUUACGUGGAAGGGUUUCUAGGUGUUUACACUUACCCUUUCACGUUGGGUCCCGUCGAUCCCAUUAUUAUCGACUUCUCCCGCCAGCAACAGAUAACUCUUGGCCAGAUACACCCCUACUUUUGGCUUAUUGUCAUCUUGCUUCGAUUCUUUGUGAGUAAGAUCGACGAGAUGCCAUUGACCUCAACUAACUCAUGGGAUUAUAUAGCCCCCGCCUCUAUCGGGGCAGAUUAAUAAGGCUCCAUCACCGAGCCACGAAGGUGUUGUUCUUGAGUAUAGAAGAGGACAAUGAUCGGGGAUGAACGGGUUGAAUUGUGCGAGUGAGGACCUCCGAGAUAAUCCAGGUUGAGAAAUGCCAUUCCCUGAGGAAUGGAACAUGAAGUGUAAGUAAACCCAUUAAUAUCUUUUGCCGAUUGCUUUGUUUCUUUUAUCUUCCUUUACCCACAUCUUUUCUCACCCAUGUCUUUUUUUGUGAUGUAGCGGUUCCUUGGAUAUCAGGAGCAACCCCGAACUUCAAAAGUUGGGUUCGGAAGUUGGCUUCGACUUUCACAUAUCCUGAGCGCUCAUGGCGCGAUGUAGCGAGGGUGGAUGGGAGACCAAGAAUCAUGGUAAGCUUAUCUCAUACUCUUUGAAUUCUUUUUUCUCAAACUUUUCUUUUUAUUUAUAAUUGAAUCCCUUUAAUGCAAGCCUCGGGGAUGUUGCUGAAAUGAGUCCGGCCCAGCCUGGGGAAGAGGUGGUUCCCAAACCGGCUAAGGACAAGAAACAAGAAGGAACUAGCCUUCCGAUACCCCGAAUCCUAAGAAGAGUAAGGCUCAGAAGUCAAAAAAUGACUUUGCUGCUUUGUCUGCUGCCGUAGCCAAAAAACUACGAGAUGAAUAAGAGAAGGGAGAAGAUGUUGGUUACGAGCUGGUGGCUCGAAAAGGGAAGCGUCGAAGCUUCAAAAGCAACUGAGCUAGUGAUGGUGGUGGAAGCUCAUUGUUGGACCGAGGAGAUCUCUAAAGGUGGCCCGAGCAAAGUCUACGAGCCAUUGGGGGCUGAAGAUAUCUCAUAUCAUGAUGAACAACCAGCGAGUGUGUCCAAAGGAUCCGAUCCCGAGGCCCAUCAAAGGAGAGAGAAUGCCCCAAGUGACUUGCUUGGGGAUUUCAAUAUUGAUGAUUCGCUGCCCGUCCCUACAUUUUCUGUAGGGCAAUUUCAGGAGGCUCGAUCUAUGGAGACCCCUGAUGUGGGAAUGACCCAUGAAGAGGACGACAUAUUUUGUGGUUGUCUCGCGGGGGUCGAUAAUGUUUUUGACCUAGAUGCGACGAUCAUUUUUGAUGAGGCCCAACGACUCCUGAACCACGUAAAUUUCAUCCCACAUUAUUACUUUGCUUUUAGUUCCUUAUGUCUGAUUUCUUUUCUUUCUCUAUAGGUUGUGACACUUCAUGGGGAAGCGUUCACCAAAUCCCAAGCCGAGAUGAACCAGCUGAGGCCAAUCUCAAAAUUCUCAUGGAGGACAGAGAUGCCCUCAAACGCCUCUAUGUGCAGAAAGAAGAGGAGAUCAGGGACCUCCGAGCUGAACUGGUAACAACCCAUAAGAAGAAGACACAUCUCAUCGAGCAGGUACUGUAAAUUUUCGGGAGCUUGACAUAUCAAUUUGAUAUUGGUGACUAACACUUAGAUAUGCAGGUUUAGCAGAAGGCCAAAAAAAGCAACCAGCUUCACGAGGAGCCAGAGAGAAAAGAGGCAGAGAUAUUAGGGUGGAAGAAGAACAUGGAUCGUCUUGCCUCGGAGAAAGAUACCUCUCGGGCCCAACUAUCUUCAGUUGAGCGUCAAAUCCAAAGCAUAAUGGAAGAGAGCUUGGCUCGACCAAAGAAGUUAAAGAGCUCGAGACUCGGCUGGCUGCUGAGCUUGCAAAGUGUACAUUUGCAACGGAAAAGGCAAAGGUCGAUGUGGAGGCAGUCGUGGUUGUCUACCGAGCCGGCAUUUAAGCCGAUAAUGCUCAAGCGAAGGAAAUUUUCAAUGCCGCUAUGAUUCGAUUAUCCCGCGCUGCUGAACAUGCUAAAUGUCAGUCUCGGAGUGGCACUCUCGAGGAGGUUCAUGCUCGUGGCUUUGACCUCAUGACCGAUAUUGAGAACACAAAAUUGCUGAAAGCCGAGGCUGAAGCUUUUCUCUCUAGUGAUGAUGACACCGAGAGUAUGAGCAGAUCCGGGAGCGGAAAAGAUGAAGAUGAAGUUCCUGGGGAAUACUAGGUACUUAGAAUUUUUUACUUCUUUUUUUAAUUUUUUUGUAAGGCCCUUGUCGGUCCCUUGUACAUAUAUUUUGUCCAUAUAUAUAAAAAAAAUUCUCUUUUGGAUGCCUUCUCAAAUUUUUUCUUCAAUCAUGAUUCAUGCCUUUUUUAACACAUUUUUGUGCUUUAAAUAAUAUGUUCGAGACUUUGGUUUUAAAUGACUUGAUUGAAGCCAUAAUAAUAACGCUUUUAUAGUCGGGUUCGAGUGAAACCAGAAUUUGGAACAAAAGUACCCUUAGGUUUGUUUCGAAUGAUAACGAACCUCGAUCUGUAGUCGAGUAGGUUCUUAUUCCAAUUCGAGAUAGUGGGACCCUUAGGUUCAGAUUGAGUGAUAACGUGUUCUCGGACUCAAAGUGUGUUGGCCCCUAGGCUCUUUCAAUCGGGCUGAUGUGGCCUCUAAAGGAUGGCUAUUUAUUCUCUCUUUUGGCUCAAAACUUGAGUAAAAAAUUCUUAUGCCUUAGCAUGUUUUUUUGAACCCAUUAAUUUCUUUUAGUAUGGAUCGAAACCCCUUUGUUUUUUAUGCCAUAAGUAACCCUUUGAUUAUUGCUGAGGGUACCCUUUUUUAACACCGGUUUUCAGAGAAUUUGAAGGCCUAUUUUUAUUGUAGGGUUCCGACGUCUUCGAGCGGCGUUAGUUUAGCCAUAGCCUUUGGGUAUGACUCUUGGUCUUACUUUCCCAACAAUACUUCGAAUUUGUUUGAAGUAUUAGUCCCCGAGAACCAUAGCCUUGGCCUACAAAUUGAGGGGUGCCUCUUUGAGGUCUUUAGAUAAUUCGAAGAUGUUGAGUUUUGAUGGCAGUCCCCGAGUAGGGGGUUGACCGUUCGAUAUGUAUUUAUACUUGGCCCUUGAGCCAUUUACCUUUCGAGUUAUAGUUGUAUUUAGAUCUUGAGCCAUUUUUCACAAAAAUCAUAAGCAUGGAGCUUAUAUAGUACAAAACUUUCUUUGAGGUACAAGAUAUUUGAUAAGGAAAAAUUCUUCAUUGAAUAAUUUAUACAUGUGUACAUGUUUUGCCAUUGGAGCUCGAUUAAUCUACAUGGACAGGGUUCGUUCGACCGUUUGGCCCAUUAAAACGUUUCCCUAUAGAGGCCCUUUUGACACGAAGUAUUUUCCCUUGAAAAUAAAUCGUCCGAGGGUGAUGCCCCGCAGUAUUCGAGGUUGAAUGUAGAGAAGCCUAGGAUACAUUUGAAUUGUCCCCAGGUAGUACAUAUAAUUACUGCAUCAUUAAAAACCUCGCCAGAAAAGUCCAUUUGGGAUAAAAUUGAUCUAUGGGGAAAAAAGUGCAACACGUGCUUUAAACCUAAGGUUCUCGUGUUGAAGAGCUUCCCGACGUCUUCAGUCAAACACCUGCAAUAAGUUAGUAUCAAAUAUAAAUGGAAAGGGAGAAAGUCAUACCUUAGCAAUAAUAUCGUUUGAGGAGUGAUAUAUUCUAAUUGUUUGGCAAUUGUUCGCCAUCCAUUAUGCCAAGUCUGUAAGACCCCUUUCCAAUGAUACCGAGGACCUCAUAUGGUCCCUCCCAAUUUGGGCCUACAUUCCCUUUGUUUGAGUCUCGAGUAUUAAGGUUGACUUCCCUCAUAACUAUGUCUCCUAUUUUGAAAUGUCAAAGAUUGGCCCUUCGAAUAUAAUAUAUUUCGGUUCGAUGUUCCUAAGUGGCCAUUCGAACGAGGGAGGCUUACCCUUUUUCGUCAAAAAAUUCUAGUCUUAUGCUCAUAGCCUCGUGACUUGAUUCUUCUGUUACGUAUCGAAACCUGAUGCUUGGUUCCCCGACUUCGAUCGGCAUCAGAGCUUCGACGCCAUAUACUAACAAGAACGACGUUUCCCCUGUACUGGAUUUUGUCGUUGUCCGAUAUGCCCAAAGGAAUUCAGGUAAAAAUUUCUCCCCACUUCCCCUUAGCAUCUUUAACCUUUUUCUUUAGGUUUUAAAUGAUGGUCUUGUUAGUUGAUUCGACCUGUCCGUUCCAACUAGGAUGAUAUGACAUGGAUAAAAUUCUUUUAUUUUGUGAUCCUCGAGUAACUUUGGUACUUUUCUGCCGAUAAAUUAUUUUCCAUUGUCGCACACGAUUUCAGUAGGUAUCUCGAAUCGGCAUAUGAUAUGAUCCUAGAUGAAGUCUAUAACUUCUUUUUCUCUGAUUUUCUCGAAGUCAUGUUCUUCCACCCAUUUAGAGAAGUAGUCAGUCAUAAAUAAAAAGAAUUUAGCUUACCUGGAAAUGAUGUCAAAUGGUCGACGAUAUCCAUCCCCCAUUUCAUGAACGACCACGAGGAUAGGACCAAAUGAAGUUGUUCUUUGGGCUACUGGAUUAUUGGUGCUACCUUUGUAAUUUAUCAGAUUUUUGAACAAACUCCUUAGUGUUUUUUCCAUAUUAUCCCAAUAGUAUCCUGCUCUGGUGAUUUUGUGAACUAGAUGUUCGGCACCGAGUGGUUCCCACAAGUACUUUCAUGGACUUCCCGUAUAGCAUAAUCAAUGUCCCAUGGUCCCAAACAUACUGCUAAUGGUCCGUCGAAUGUCAUUCUGUACAAUAUUUCAUCUUCGGCCAAAGUGAAUCAAGCAGCAUUUGUACCUAAUGCCCUCGAUUCAUUAGGGUCCAAUGGGAGCUUUCCAUUUUUCAAGUACUCGAUAUAUCUAUUCCUAAAGUUAAGCUCAUGGAAUUUAUCUCAGCGUGACCUUCUUCAAGCACAGAUCACAAGAGUUGAAUGACAGACCCCAAGCUAAUUUUGUCCUCCUCGAGUGACGACCCCAGAUUUGCGAGAGCAUCGGCUUCGCGGUUAUGCUCGCAAGGUACGUGCUUCAAGGUCCAUUCUUUAAAAUGGUGCAAAGUCACAUGUAGCUUAUCCAAAUACCUUUGCAUUCUAUCCUCUCGAACCUCAAAGGUUUUGUUUAAUUGGUUUACCACCAACAAAGAGUCGAACUUGGCUUCAAUGACUUACGCCCCCAAGCUUUUAGUUAGUUCGAGACCUGAAAUCAUGGCCUCUUACUUGGCCUAAUUUUUAGUUAGCUUAGAAGUUUUGAUGGAUUGUCUAAUGUGUUUCUCGUGGGCGGCUUCAAAACAAUACCUAGCCCGGACCCCUUCACAUUCGAGGUGUCAUCUGUGAAAAGGGUCCACACCCCCGAUGAUGUACCUAAUUUUAAUGAGAGUUCCUUCUCGAUUUCGGGUACGAGGGUUGGCGUGAAAUCGACCAUAAAGUGUGCUAAAAUUUGAGACUUGAUGGCCGUUCGGGGGUGAAAUUUGAUAUGGUACACACUUAGUUCGAAAACUCAUUUGGAAAAUCGACCUGAUAGCUCGGGCUUAUGCAAUAAAUUGCAAAGUGGGUAAGAGGUUAAUAAACAUAUGGGGUGACAUUGAAAAUACGGUUUUAGCUUGCAAGACAAGCUUAUCAAUGCAAGUGCCUGAAAGUACAAAAGGGAGGGUGAAUUGUGAAUAAUUUAAACUUAAUCGUAAAUAAGUCGACUUAAAACUUUAUUAGUCGACUGAGACGAUACUUCAGGUGAAGAUAUUCGAAUAUAAUUAUGCAGAAAGUAAGUGCAAAAAUAUAAAUGUGACAUUAAAUUUUAUACUGCUUCGGAUUCAAUGUGAAUCAUAAUCCACUCCCAUUGGGUUGCAAGGGAUUUCUCUCAGAUUAAUCAUUUUCUUUUGAGUACAGAUAUAAUACUUAUCGCACAAUCUUCUUUCACUUGUUUGAUACAAUGCCUCGCCAAUUGAGAACUCUCUUUCUAUCUCUGACUUGUUACACAAUUAAUCACCGGUUGAAUCCGGAAUCGAGGCAAAUAAUGACUAUAUUACAGUCUGCGUAUCAGAAAUCCGGAUAAGGAAUUCUGUUUACUCAGGAGAAGGUGUUAGGCAUUCCCGAGUUCCGUGGUUCUAGCACAGUCGCUCAACUGUUAUAUUCGGUUUAUUUAUCUGAUUUUAACAAUUAUGUACCUAGUGCAAGUCAUGAUUCUUUUAACCGCUUUUCUUAUUAUUAUUAUUAUUAUUUUAAUAAAGCUAAAGCUUAAAGGGAAAGCAAAAGCCAAAGUUAAAGCAAAAGUUAAAGCAAAAGCAAAAGCAAAAGCAAAAAGUUAAAGCAAAAGUAAAGUAAAAGUUAAAAUUAAAGCAAAAGUUAAAGUUAAAGCAAAAGUUAAAAUUAUAGCAAAAGUUAAAGAAAAAACGGUGUUAUUAUUUUAGGAGAGAAUUGCAACGUCGCGAAACGUAUUUUUAACCACGUCACAACCAGUGUACACGUGAUCUUCGACACAUUCCGACUUCGUUGGACUUUGAUUUGGGUCACAUCAAUGUACAUCCGGGUUUAAGAAGGUAAUGUUUUUAAAAUACGCGCCUAACGAGUCUAACGAGUUAUUAUUUUGGGGACACUACUAGAAUUCGGCCAAAAAGCGACCAAAAAAUAGCGACCAAAUUUGGUAUGUCAAAAAAAGCGACCAAAUUAGGUCGCCAAACUGACGAAAAUAAUAAAAAAAUAUUUGAAAUAAUUUAACGAUCGAAUUUGGUCGCCAUUUGGACGCAAAGUUAGUCAAACGGUUGACUUGACUGGUCAGACUAGCUUGGUCAAAAAUAUUCUGAGUUUAGCAACCAACAUUUGUCGCAAUAGUGGGACCCACAAAGGUUUUUAAAGUAAUUUUAUUAGUAUUUUAUAAAACUUAUAAAAUAUAAAUAUAUAUAAUUUAAAACUUGCGACCAAAGUUGGUCGCUAACUGAAGGAUAAGAAGUUAGCGACCAAGUUUCUAAAGCGGGACCCAGAUAUAAUAUUUUAAUAAAUAUGUAUUUAUUUAAAAAAUUUAUGAAAUAUAAAUAAAUAUAAUUCAAAUUUUAGCGACCAAAGUUGAUUGCUUAGUGAACUAGAGAUCAACGUUGGCCGCCAAUGUGGGACCCAGUUCCAACGUUUAACAAUUUUUUUAAAUAUUAUAUAAAAUAUAAAUAAAUCUGUUUUAAUUUUAGUGACCAAAUUUGGUCUCUAAAUUAAAUUCAUGUACAGUUAGUGACCAACUUUGGUCGCUAAAUUAAAUUAAUUUUAAGUUAGUGACCAAAGUUGGUCUCUGUAUAGUCAAAAUUAAAAAUCACUUUUGUAUUUAUUAUGUAAAUAAUAUAAAUGUAAGUAGUUAAUACUUUCGUAAUACAAGGGAUCAAUAGUACCACAAAAUCGGGCGUGCGUGUCUAUAUAUAUAUAGCUAAUAUUGAUCGUUUGACCAAAUUAGCGACCACAGUUGGUCGCUAUUUUUGACUGUUUGACCAAAAGGCGACUACUUUGGUCGCUUUAGUAGUAUAUAUGAAAAUAGAAAAAAAUAUUUCAUUUAUUUAUUUUGAAAUAUAGCGACCACAUUUGGUCGCUUUUUUGGUCAAACGGUCAAAAAUGGCGACCAACUUUGGUCGCUAAUUUGGUCAAGCAGUCAAUACUUAUAUAGCUACCAAAUUAGCGACCAAUUUUUUUGAUACCAGAUCUCAAAAUCGGGUUUCCCCUCCCAAAAUCUUAUUUUCAUUUUCAAAUUUCCCAAAACUCUCUCUACUCCCCUUCUCUAUUUCCCUCACACAAAUCAAUCCCCCACCCAGCGCCACCAUUGUGACCUCGUACCACCACCGCCGGAACCGCCGCUGUUAAAGUCCUCCCUCCGAUUCGUCGCUGUUGAAAUUGUUGUGCCACCUUCGCCGCUGCCACUGUCCGCCGGAGCACCAUUUGAAAAGCUUUUUAAUUAUAUUUUUUAUCUACCAAGGUUAGUAAUAUACCUUAUUAGCUUUUUAAUUUAUAAUUUUUGCUAUACAGUUUUAUGUAAUUGGUUAGUGUGUUUGUCUAUUUAGUAUUAGGGUUUCGUAUAAAUUAUGAACUUAAGGUAAAAAUUAGGAACUACCUUAAAUUAUGAAUUUAUGGUUCUUAAGAGAACUCAAAUUAAUGUAUUANNNNNNNNNNNNNNNNNNNNNNNNNNNNNNNNNNNNNNNNNNNNNNNNNNNNNNNNNNNNNNNNNNNNNNNNUAAACUUUUUGGAUAUGAAUUGAACUUUUAGUUAAUGAAUUGAACUUUUAGGAUAUGAAUUAACUAAUUUAAUUUGUUCUUGCUUUAUUUAAAUAGACGAAACAUCGUUCUUGGAUGUACAAUAUGAAUUAUCCUAAUCGGCGGGGAUUGCGGGAGGAUUUUGUAGAUGGGGUUGAGGACUUUAUUAGACAUGCAACGUCACUUCCGCCAUACAUAAAAGAAGGAGUAAUUAGGUGCCCUUGUGUCAAGUGCGACUGUAUUAUAGCCAUUCAACGUUACUUCCGCCAUACAUAAAAGAAGGAGUAAUUAGGUGCCCUUAUAUUAAGUGCGACUAUGAUGUUUGGAAAUCCGGAGGAGGUUAAGGUUCAUCUUUAUAGGAAGGGUUCAUAGCGAAUUACUUUGUGUGGACUAAUCAUGGAGAGAUAGAUGGUAGCCAUGGGAUAUUUCAUAACUUGGUUGUUGGUGAAAGUAGUAGGUCGAUGGAGAAUAGAAAUAGUGAUUCCAGAAUGCAUGAUAUGGUUGCGAAUGCUUUUGGAAUGCACUUUGGGGGUGAGCCCAACGUAAAAUGUUGAACAAACUCCUAAUGAUGAAGCAAGACAUUUUUAUGAACAUAGAGGAAGCUAGUCGUCCACUACGUAAAGGACGUCCUCACUUUGAGUUGUCUGUUGCAGUUAGAUUACUAAGCAUCAAAUCUGAUUGGAAUAUUUCUCAAGCAACCAUGGAUUCUUUCAUUGACCUUAUACGUGAACUAGUUGACGAGGAAAUCAAAUUACCUGGCGAUUCUAUAAGGCAAAGAGAUUAGUUUCUAAGUUGGAACUUUUGUCAAUGAGAAUUGAUUGCUGUGAGGAUGGUUGCAUGUUAUAUUAUAAAGAUGAUGCAAAUUUAAGCUGCUGUAAAUUUUGCGGAAAGCCUCGUUUCAAGAGGCUUUCCAGCGGGAAGAUGGUCGCUAUCAAGGCGAUGUAUUAUUUACCUCUUAUACCUAGGCUAAAGAGGUUAUAUGCUUCGAUGAAUUAUGCUUCUCAUAUGAGAUGGCGCUUUGAAAAUAGAAGACCACCUGGUGUUAUGUUCCAUCCUUCAGAUGGAGAAGCUUGGAAGCACUUUGAUAGGACAUAUCCAGAUUUUCUAGUGAACCAAGGAACAUUCAGUUAGGUCUGUAUGCGGAUGGCUUCACGCCUUUUUUGUAUAUGUGACACCGUAUUCAUGUUGGCCUGUCUUUCUUACACCUUAUAAUAUACCACCCGAGUUGUGCAUGAAUACUCCAUAUAUAUUCUUAAAUUGUAUUAUCCCCGGUCCACGUUAUCCAAAAAAGUUGAUAGAUGUAUAUUUGCAACCUUUGAUUGAUGAGCUAAAACAAUUGUGGUACGAUGGUGUUGAAACAUAUGACAUAUCAACCAAGCAUAAUUUCAAUUUGCGUGCUAAUUUAAUGUGGACAAUUGAUUUUCUUGCGUAUGGAAUGUUGUCUAGGUGGAUGACUGCUGGGAAGCUAGCUUGUCCUUACUGCAUGUAAAAUAGUAAAGCGUUCACUUUGAAACAUGGCCGAAAGCAAUCAUGAUUUGAUUGUCAUCGUCAAUUCUUGCAUGAGGGUCAUGAGUUUAGAAGGAUGAAAAAUGCUUUCAAAAAGAAUAAACUGGAAUAUGAUUAUCCACCUCCGAUACGUUAAGGUGAGGAAAUUUGGGAGAGGGUCCAGAAAUACAGUAAAGUUACUAAAGUUUCACCGCAUAGAUUCUCCGAAUACGUGAGGAAAUUUGGGAGAGGGUCCAAAACUACAAUAAAGUUACUGAAGUUUCACCGCGCAGAUUCCCCGGAUACGAUGUUAUUCAUAAUUGGACCAAACAGAGUAUAUUUUGGGAGUUGCCUUAUUAGAAGGAUAAUCUUUUCCGUCACAACCUUGAUGGCAUGCAUAUUUAGAAGAACUAUUUUGACAAUUUGUUCAACACAGAGAUGGAUGUUAAAGGUAAGACAAAGGAUAACCCGAAGGCUAGAGUGGACUUACAAGAUAUUGCAAGCGGCCUGAAUUACACUUGCAGACAACAAACAAUGGUUAGUUAUUCAAGCCCAAAGUAAGUUACACAUUCACUUUGGAGGAAAGGCGGCAGAUUUGUGAUUGGGUAACGAAAUUGAAGAUCAAAGCAAGUUACACGUUCACUUUGGAGGAAAGACGACAAAUUUGUGAUUAGGUAACGAAAUUGAAGAUGCCUGAGGAUUUAUGCUUCGAAUUUUGGAAAAAAAGUUUAUAUGGAGGUAGGGAAGUUGAGCAUUUGAAAAGUCAUGACUGUCAUGUUUUCAUGGAGACCUUAGUGCCUAUUGCGUUUUCUGGUUUUCCUGAAAGAAUCUGGAAACCCAUCACUGAGAUUAGUUAAUUUUUCAAAGACUUGUGUUCUUUCACAUUAAGGGAAGAAAACAUACGCCGGAUGGACCAGAACAUUCAUGUAACUUCGGGUAAGAUGGAAAAGAUAUUUUCAUGUGGGCUUUUAAUGUGAUGGAACACCUUCCAAUCCACCUUGUACACGAGGCACGACUUGGAGGGUCUGUUCAAUGCAGAUGGAUGUAUCCCUUUGAGAGGUAAUACUAUAGUCCAUAUAUAAUCUUUUGUCUUAUUUGAAUGUUCUUGGCUAACCCAAAAUUAUGCAGGGCAAUGGCAAAUGCAAACAAUUUGUUAAGCAGAGGAAUAGAAUUGAAGGAUCUAUAUAAGAAGCUUAUUUUGCAAAGGAAACUUCUCAUUUUUGUUCUUAUUAUUUUGAGAGCAACGUGCCAUGUGCUAGAAAUAGGCCCAACAGGCACACGGUUGACCUUACGAAUGAUCCAUUAUAUCCGCCUAUGUCCAUAUUCAAUCAACCAGGCCGAUGUUCUAAGGAUGGUAGAAAGAGAAGUUUGAGUGAUAUGGAGUUCAAGUCAGCUACACUUCAUGUGUUACUAAAUUGUCCCGUAGUAGUACCAUUUUUCAAGUAAGUAUUGAUUUAAUAAUUAUCAAAAUAAAAAAUUUACUGUAAUUACAUCUCAAUGCAACUACUAAAAUAUUUGAUGUGUCACGGUCACUUCGUGGGUCAAUUUGGCUAAGAUGCUGUAUAUACGGCAUUUCCUAGGUGGUUUAAACAAUUUGUAAGUAUAUCCUUAAAAUAUUCUAACACUAUGUAGGUAAACAAUGUUUGAAAGUUAUGCUAACUUAUGAAUUUGUUAACAAUAUGUAGGUAAAUGAUCCAAAUAAUGGUGUAAAUCAAUUUUCGAAAGAUAUAUCUUGGGGACCUGGGGUUGAGGUCACAAUAUAUUCCAAGUACGUUGUGACUAGUUAUAAGUUUCAUACAUAGGGUUGCUCUAAAAAUAAAAAAAGAAACAACAGUGGGGUGUGGGUUCAAGGUGGUGAUGGCAACCAAGUUUGAAAUAUUGAUUAUUAUGGUGUGCUCAAAGAAAUAAUAGAACUAGAAUAUUCAGGUAGGCCAUUUAAGAAAAUUAUUCUCUUUAGAUGCACGUGGUUUGACUCAAAUCCAACAAAAGGUAUGAGAGUUCUCAAUCAAUACAACAUAAUUGAGGUUAAUUAUACGAGGGAGUAUGAUCGAUACGAUCCUUUCAUAAUUGCACAUAAUGUUAGGCAAGUGUAUUAUUCUCCUUGUCCAUUUCGGUGGAAUAAGGCCGAUUGGUGGGUUGUAAUCAAAACUAAGGCUGUAGGUAGGGUCGAAGUCGAGAAUGCGUUGGAUGUUGCAUAUCAAAAUGAUAUCUCCAGUGUUCACAAAAUAGUGGACGAACUUUUAAAAAAUGAUUUGGAACAUCCUGAACACAUAUUGGAAGAAGUUGAUAUAAAUGAAGUAAGAAUUAGUGGACGAACUUUUAGAAAAUGAUUUGGAAUAUCCUGAACACAUAUUGGAAGAAGUUGAUAUAAAUGAAGAAAGAAUUAUAGAAAACGAGGAAGAAGAAUCAACUGAUGAAGCUCAAACUAGUGAGGAAGAAGAAUUCUCUGACGAGGAAGAAGAAUUCUCUGACGAGGAAGAUUACGUCAAUGAGCUUUAAAAAGUUGGUUUCUUAGAUACCUCUCGUUUAUAGAUAGUUUUCUUAUAUGUUUCAAUCUAAAUUAUGUAUUAUAUUAUGCAGAUGACAUGAAAAGGUCGAGGUAACAAUGAAGGUAGUGGUUCUCAGGGAAAAGAAAAGGCUAGGGAGCAAAAGAGGAGGGUAGAAGAUAGUACUUAUCAAUCUUUUCCACACUCUUCUGAUUUGCCUGCCACUAUGCCACAGCCUCUACCCAUUGGCUAUACUGAGCUGCCACAACAUCACUAGCCCUACACCUUUGUGCAGACCAGUCUUCAAAGGGCCAUCAGACUGCGUCCAAUAUACAGUCCACCUCCCUCACAACCACGUGCAUCCCGCCCAGCAACAUCACAUGGAUCACAUCGAUCCAUUUCACAGCCACAAGGAUCAAAUCCAUCAGUCUCACAGCCAGUCGGGUCACAGCCACUCGGGUCAAAACAGUCAGUAUCAUAGCCACUUGUGAUCCGUGCAGCUAUGUCGCAGUCACAGGGAACACAUCUAUCGUCAUUAGCAACUCCACUUAUUGGAGGCCUUCGCUUGCGAGAUAGUAGCUCUGACCCCCUACUCCGUCCACACAUGCCUCUGAUACAUAUGAUGCUGAUGUUGCUGCUGGUGAGGAGGUGAAUUAUGAUCAGUAUGGUAGGAUCAUCAUAGUCCCUGAGGGUGAUGGGUAAGAGUUAUUUGUUAUUUUUAUGUUUAUUAUUUUGUACAGUUUUUACUAAGAAANNNNNNNNNNNNNNNNNNNNNNNNNNNNNNNNNNNNNNNNNNNNNNNNNNNNNNNNNNNNNNNNNNNNNNNNNNNNNNNNNNNGUACAGUUUUUACUAAGAUAUUAAUUUGUUUUAUUUAUUAAAUUGCAGGUUCCUCCCGAGUAAUAUUACUACGAGGAUAAUCACCAAAGCAACUAGAAAGUUUUAUGAUGCCCCUUAUGCGUCUUGGCGUGAAUUCCCAUUCUCACUGAAGAAGGCAAUUUUCAAUAAAUUUAAGGUAUAAAUGUUCUUUUAAGCAGUAUAAUUAUUUAUAUUUAGGAUAUUUCCAUAUANNNNNNNNNNNNNNNNNNNNNNNNNNNNNNNNNNNNNNNNNNNNNNNNNNNNNNNNNNNNNNNNNNNNNNNNNNNNNNNNNNNNNNNNUGAUUAUUUAUAUUUAGGAUAUUUCCAUAUAAUAUUUAACUUUUGAAAUACAAAGCAAGUGUGUAUGGGUACGCCAGUAUAGCACGGACGUGGCUGCAAAUUUUGAUCUCAAAGAUCGCAAGCGAUUGUCGCAUGCUUUCUCCAUAGCUAGAAAGCUGAACCAGAAGCUUGGCUGGUUGCUUCAGGAGUAUUGGGAUGAUUUUCAAAGGCAAUGGCUUACUGCAAAGUUCUUACAGAAGAGCGAAAAGGGGAAGAAAGCUCGGGCAUCUGAGAAGGGAGGAUCCUUGCACACCGGAGGUGCGGUCAGCCAAGGGACAAUAAAAAGAAUAAUGGUACGUAAUUGCAUAAUAUAUUUUAAUUUUCAAAGUAUAUCUAUUCUAUUUAUUAAUCAAAAUUUAUAAGUUUCAGGAAAAGAAUUUGGGCCGUCCGAUAAACCAAGAUGAGCUUUUCAAGGAGACUCAUAUUGUGAAGAAGAAGAAAGAGACGGAUGGGAAAAAAAAGUUCGGCCGUCCGAUGAACCAAAGAUGAGCUAUUCAAGGACUCAUAUUGUGAAGAAGAAGAAAGAGACGGAUGACGAAAGGUGGGUCGAGGAACGUGCCUCGAAUGUACAAGUAAGUUUUCACUUUUCAUUAAAUAUUUUCAUUUACUUUUAUAUAAAUUUUGAAAUACUAAUUCAAUUUACUCUUUCUUAUAGGAUCGCUUAAGAGUUGAAGCUGAUGAAUUCAUACGCAACCAGUCACCUUGUGAGUCGGGCGAGCCAUUCGAACUUUCGGCCGAGGAUAUUGAAAGAUUAUGGACGCGGGCUGCAGGCGGUCCAAAAUGCGGGAAGGUAUACGGCCUUCCUACUAAGACACUCUAUCGUUAUAGGUGUGGAGUGCAAGGAAUAGGGACUUCCUCACAAGCCGAGCAACUUGAUGGGGAGAGCUCUCCUCUAUGCGGGAGACUGUGUCAAAGCUCACAUCCGAGCUAGAAGAGUCCAAGAAAAUAGAAAAGCUUAGAGAUGCUCAGUAUGUUGGCGUGGUCACUCAGUUCCAGAACAUGCAAGAGUAGAUAAAAUAUCUCCUAGCUGGAUCUUUUUCGAUUCCUCGGUCUCGGUCAUCAUCGCUAGAGGCUGCCGUCCCCGUGCUCGUUCGUCCCGUCCUCCAAGAGGUCGUUCCUCCCGUCCUCCCCAUGAUCAUUCUUGCCGUCAUCGGCAAGUAAACCCUUCUCAAUACCGUGAUGAUGAUGAUGACGAUGAAAGUUCAUCAGACAAUGAUUGUAUUGAUGUAUCAAACAAUGAAUGAAUUGUAGAUAAUUUUAACUAGACAAAUACAAUUUAUUUUCCAUUGGGUUGUAAUAAGAGUUAACAUAAUAGCUUGAUAGUUUGAAUGUUUUCCAUUGGUAGUUCUAUUGAAAUUAACACUUUCUUGGUUUUAAUGUAGCUUUUAAUGUUAUUUUUGUAUAGUUGGGUUAUUGUUUGGUAUUAUUAUUGUAAUCGUUAUUUGAAUUGUUGUUGUUGUUGCUUGUUAGGGUUUUGGUAUGACUGGCAGGUGGUGUAGCUGCCAAAACAGACAGUUUCUGCCAAAAUAAUACACAGAAAAGCGACCAGAGUUGGUCUCUAGUUGGUCACUUUUCAAGUUAAAAACAAUUUUCUGGAAAAUAGCGACCAAAGAUUUCUUAAAAAAGCGACCAACGUUGGUCGCUAUCUCAUUAAAAAAAUCUGCUAAUAUAGAGACCAGAUUUGGUCCCUAUUUUUUAAAAAUUAAAUUAAAUUCAUGUAAUUAGGGACCAAUGAUGGUCGCUAAACUAAUAAAUAAAUAAAUAAUUGAAUAAAAUAGUGACCAAUAAUGGUCUCUAGUUUCCAUAUUUUAAAAUACAAUUUGUAGAUUAGAGACCAAAGUUGGUCUCUAUUGUCAACAUCCGGAAAAAUGGGUCCAUUUAGAGUAGAGACCAAAGUUGGUCGCUAAUUAGCGACCAAAUUUGGUCCCUAAAUAAAAAGGACCAUCAAUAUAGCUACCAGACCACUUUGGUCGCUUUUUGGUCGCUUUUUAGCCAAAAAGCGACCAACUUUGGUCGCUUUUUCCCGAAUUUCUAGUAGUGGGAAGACCGUACAAUUAGCAAAACGGCACAUCCCGGAAUCUAAGUAUUUUUAAUAUAUACAUUUAUGAGGGCCCCACAGUUUACAUUUUUUAUUUGGCGAGGCUCAUCUCAUUUUAUUAUUUAAAAGACAAAGCUAUAGCAACUAUGAUUUUCUAUUUUAUUUGUAUCCAAGCCAAUUUAUUUAAAACAUUAUACUGAAUAAACUUAUACCCAAAGUUUCAUCAGUAAUUAAACCAACAUGAGUAUUACCGCCUAAUCAUUCCAAAAUAGAUGAUGAGAGUAGUAAAAUUAACAACAAAUAUUAUAUUUAACAACAAAUACUCACAGCAAAUAUCAUAUUCAACACAUGUAAUUUCAGAUCCAUAUUAUUAAACAGGACCAAACAAAUUUAUUUCAAACAAGCCAUGGAUGGACAUAUGAGAGUAGUAAAAUUAGAGAGAUGAGGUAUAAUAACCGAUCUUACUAUCAAAAUCAAUUGAAACUGACCGUAGACUUCGAAUGGCGACCUCGACGGAACCUCGUCGAACUUUAAUCGGACUGACUCACUUGUCCUCCGCUUAUCGUUACUGUUUUUCGAACCCCAGCCAGCUAUGGUGAACGGGUGGUCGUUUGGAGGUGGUCGACUGGAGUUUGGUCGUGAGGGAGUGGUCGACGGGAGGGAAACGGUUCAGCGUGGCUGUUGCUGUUGCUGGACGAACGGAGGCGUGGGUGGUUGGGGACGACGAUGAAGAUCGUUUGUUGCUGGAUGACGCAGCAGGUUCAAGUGUGACGGGUGGUGAGGGACUGAUUGGGACGUGAGGCAGCAGGUUGAGAAGCGACUGAGAUGGGGAUGAGGAUGAGGACGGUGGUCGUGUGGUUGGCGUGACAGUAGGGGACUGUUUGGGACGGAGGGGUUCGGGCGUUGCUGGAGGUUUUUAGUUUGUUUUUGUCUUCUUCAAAAUGAAGAAGAAAGUUCAACAGUCCUCCUCCUCUAGUUGUGUAUAUGUGUGUGUUAUUUAUAUCAGGAAAAUAAAGAGACACCCCUCCCCCAAGAAAAACGUGACCAGCCCUUUUCUUUUCAAUUUUUUUUUUGCUGUGCAAAAUCCCUUUUUCUCUUUCUUUUCC
This 29778-nucleotide long non-coding RNA is filed under the name Nicotiana benthamiana. Its description in RNAcentral is "long non-coding RNA (NBEN_LNC015243)". Lineage: Eukaryota; Viridiplantae; Streptophyta; Magnoliopsida; Solanales; Solanaceae. The record is from RNAcentral.